RNAcentral lists this ribosomal RNA (409 nucleotides) under Actinomycetes bacterium. RNAcentral's name for it is "Actinobacteria bacterium partial 16S ribosomal RNA". It matches the Rfam family "Bacterial small subunit ribosomal RNA", at positions 355 to 776 of the family's 1533-position model. Lineage: Bacteria; Bacillati; Actinomycetota; Actinomycetes. The record is from RNAcentral.
UGGGGAAUAUUGCACAAUGGGCGGAAGCCUGAUGCAGCGACGCCGCGUGGGGGAUGAAGGCCUUCGGGUUGUAAACUCCUUUCGACAGGGACGAAGCUUUUGUGACGGUACCUGUAUAAGAAGCACCGGUUAACUACGUGCCAGCAGCCGCGGUAAUACGUAGGGUGCGAGCGUUGUCCGGAAUUACUGGGCGUAAAGAGCUCGUAGGUGGUUUGUCGCGUCGUCUGUGAAAUUCCGGGGCUUAACUCCGGGCGUGCAGGCGAUACGGGCUGACUUGAGUGCUGUAGGGGAGACUGGAAUUCCUGGUGUAGCGGUGAAAUGCGCAGAUAUCAGGAGGAACACCGAUGGCGAAGGCAGGUCUCUGGGCAGUAACUGACGCUGAGGAGCGAAAGCAUGGGUAGCGAACAGG